CAAAAACAAGCAUCUUUCCAGUUUUUCUCUACCGUGUUUGCCAGUCAGGUCUUCCUACAGCUAACCGCAGUCAAGUGUCAUCUUAAAUCCAGAGAUACGAACACUCUGGCAUCAUGUAUGUCAAUUCUGGAGCAGAAAAUGUGUCCAUGUCUUUGAACUUUAUGGGCAGGAAGUUACGUAACCAUACUGUUGCCCCAGCAGCAAAGCAACGUGCCUGGGAGACCACUGACCUUUCUCGAUAUCAGGAGGAUCCAGUGGUCUCCACCCGAGUGGUACUUUCUCAUCCCAUCGUGUCAUCAGAGGAACUGCCAGGCAGUGUGCCUGAUCUAAGAGAACAGGUUCAGUGGCGUAGACCAUGUAACAUCCAUAAUACACUCCUACACCAGGAUAAAGAUA
Molecule: long non-coding RNA, 396 nt
Organism: Sinocyclocheilus grahami
Lineage: Eukaryota; Metazoa; Chordata; Actinopteri; Cypriniformes; Cyprinidae
Exons: 3
Source: RefSeq, a predicted model, not a curated record